RNAcentral lists this ribosomal RNA (243 nucleotides) under uncultured Actinomycetales bacterium. RNAcentral's name for it is "partial 16S ribosomal RNA". It matches the Rfam family "Bacterial small subunit ribosomal RNA", at positions 88 to 334 of the family's 1533-position model. The record is from RNAcentral. Lineage: Bacteria; Bacillati; Actinomycetota; Actinomycetes; Actinomycetales.
UACUCGAGUGGCGAACGGGUGAGUAACACGUGGGUGACCUGCCCUGCACUUCGGGAUAAGCCUGGGAAACUGGGUCUAAUACCGGAUAGGAGCCAUUUUUAGUGUGAUGGUUGGAAAGUUUUUUCGGUGUAGGAUGAGCUCGCGGCCUAUCAGCUUGUUGGUGGGGUAAUGGCCUACCAAGGCGACGACGGGUAGCCGGCCUGAGAGGGUGGACGGCCACAUUGGGACUGAGAUACGGCCCAG